This 3684-nucleotide ribosomal RNA is filed under the name Triticum aestivum (bread wheat). Its description in RNAcentral is "partial small subunit ribosomal RNA". The record is from RNAcentral. Lineage: Eukaryota; Viridiplantae; Streptophyta; Magnoliopsida; Poales; Poaceae.
AUGCACAAAAUGCUCGAGUCCUUGACUGGGGACGAACAUGAACACAUUAAGGGUUUGCAGGCGCUGCAGGGCACCCUAGAAUCUUCAUUGAAAUCGAGAAGGGUCCUACUUGUUUUGGAUGACAUGUGGGAGGAUAGCCAAAAGGGAAAAUGGGAUGAGCUGCUAACUCCACUGCUUUCCAGUGAUGUCCUGGGAAAUAAAAUUCUGGUGACAACUCGGAAGCCAUCUGUUGCAAAAUUGAUUGAAGCUGCAGACCGGGUUAAUCUGGCUGGUAUAAAUGAAGGCGACUUUUGGAAUUUCUUUAAAGAAUGUGCCUUCGGAGAUGAGGAGUACAAAGUUGGACAGAAGCUCAAGGAAAUUGGAAAGAGCAUGCUUGUCCAGUUAAAGGGUAAUCCUUUAGCAGCAAAAAGUGUUGGCAAAUUAUUGAGAAAGAAUCGUACUGUUGAUUUCUGGAGGAGAAUUCUGAAAGAUAGUGAAUGGAAGCAACAGUCGGAUGACUACGAUAUCAUGCCGGCCUUGAUGGUCAGCUACAAAUAUUUACCAGUGCACCUCCAGCGGUGCUUCUCAUACUGUGCUGUUUUCCCAAAGUAUUAUAAGUAUGAGAAAGAAUGUUUGGUCAAUAUGUGGAUAGCCCAAGGUUUGAUAUGCUCCAUUGACAACAUGCAUAAACGAAUGGAGGACAUUGGAAUUGAAUUUUUCAGUGACCUAGUUGAAUGGGGAUUUCUUCAAAAGGAAUUUGAACUUGUGAAUGUGACCAUACAUACCAUGCAUGAUCUCAUUCAUGGUUUGGCACAGAAGGUUUCAUCUCACGAAAGCUUCACCAUAGGGGACACUGAGUCCAGAAAAGCACCACAGCUUGUUCGACAUGUCAGUAUAAUUGCUGGGUUGGUGUAUGAGACAGAAACGGAUGGCACCGUGCAUCCUAAUGAGACUUUCCGACGUGAAUUUUUGAAAUCAUUCUGUGAGUUGCAACAAACUAGUAACUUGAGCACAUUGUUGCUGUUUGGUCCACAUGACUCUGAUUUUGCACGCUCAUUUUGCCAGGAAUUCAAUGAGGUAAAGUCAGUUCGUGUGUUGAAAUUGGACAUGGUACCCUUUGAUUUGGAUUUAAUGAUCGGAAAUAUCUCAUCAUUUAUCAAUCUUCGCUACCUGGAGUUGGGCUGCCUUUAUAAGGGCCCCAGGUUGGAACUUCCAGAGGCUAUAUGUAGGCUUUAUCAUUUGGAAGUACUUGAUAUAAAGAAAAACUGGGGAACUAGCACAGUUUUACCGAGAGACAUGAACAAGCUUGUUAAGUUACGUCAUUUUAUUGCCAGGGAUGAGUUGCAUGCAAAAAUAGUGGGUGUUGGGGAGAUGGUUUCCCUUCAAGAGCUCAAGGCAUUUGAUGUCCGAAAGGCAAGUGAGUUCAGCAUAAUACAGUUCAGAAGAUUGAAUCAGCUCAGAGGAUCAAUUAGGAUUUGCAAUCUUGAUGAUGUAGGAAGCAAAGACGAGGCCAUCAACGCAAGAAUCUCUGACAAGGUCCACCUCACUGGUUUGCAUUUAUCAUGGAACACUGUGUCUGAGGAUAGAGUUCAUACUGAAAGUAAAGUUGAUAUCCUCGAGGAUCUUAAACCACACGCCGGACUUAUAGAUCUGGGAAUCAUAGCAUACCGACAUCCUGUACCUUCAUGGCUCAGCAACAAUAUUCACCUCACCUCAUUGCGGUCCCUUCAUCUGGAUAGCUGCUCUUACUGGAAAACAAUUCCAACGCCCCACCAGUUGCCUCUGCUCCGUGAGUUGAGGUUGAGUAAGAUGGUUCGUGUUUCCAAAAUAGAGAUUGGAUGUUUGGAGGUACUGGAACUACGCACUUUGCACCGUUUAACACAGUGCAUAGCUUUGGACAAGGAGCAGUUAUCUGUGAAUUUGCGGGUUCUUGAAGUAGAUGACUGCUUUCGAUUGAAGGAAUUCCCUUUGUUAUUUAUCUCUAAAGAUACAUUAAUUAGUGAAUCUCAGUUUACUCAUCUUCACAGACUUAAGGUUCGUGGUUGCUUUGGUCACAUUAGCAUCUCACAACUUUUGCACAUGGACUCUUUAUUGUACAUAGAUUUGUUCUUGAGGCCAAGUUUGGAGGAAUUUCGACUUGUACCGAUCGGCCAAUCAGAUGGGCUGCGCAUGGAAAUCAAAGGAACUGCGGAAGUUAAGAGCAUAGAGGAAAAUUUGUUCCCGUUCAACAAACUGAGGGACCUGGAGGAGCUUGAAAUAACAGAUUAUCCAGGUUUGAUGUACCUACCAUGGGAAGGCCUUCAAAAGUUGGCAUCAUUGAAAACAUUCAAGAUGAGUAACUUCGGCAAAUUAUUUUCUUGUAUGUCUAUAUGGGGGCUCUCUCUCCCCCCAUCAGUCCAAGAACUAGAGUUUAGUUCGUGCAACAUCACACCGGAACAACUGUCUCAAGUCCUGCUGAGUCUUCCGUUACUCAAGAAAUUCAGUUUAACUAAUUGUGAAAAGGUGACAUCCUUACCUAUAGGGCUGUUUACAGAUGAACACAGCCAAACAGUGUUAGGCUCCUGGCAUAUCGCUCCCAACCUCUUGACGACUCUGGAAAUCUUGCAGAUCUCAUUCAGACUGACAGCUCGUCCGGAAGAAACUUCAGUGAUGCACUUUUGGAGCAAGCAAUGCCUGGGAAAGUUCACCUCUCUUAAGAAAGUUGUCAUUGAAGAUUGCCCUAAUCUCCUAUCUACUAUGAUUUCAGGAGGAAUGUCUCAUAUACCUCCAUCUUCUCUAGUAAUACUUGAAGUGCAUGGCAUCACAGACAGCUGUCUGCAAUUAUCAGAACUCUCUUCCCUCACUGAUUUACGUGUCAGUGCUUGCGCAUCCUUAACAUGUCUCAACUUGGAUUGUCACACUGCAUUGCGAGAGCUGAAUAUUUUAGGAUGCGGCAUGUUAUCAUCACUUGAAGGUAUGCAGUCAUGUGAGGCAUUGCGGCAGUUUAGCAUCUAUGAUUGCAAGGCGCUUUGUUCACUCAGAGUAUCGCUCGGCAACCUGACAACACUGAGCAUAGAGAGCAAUCCCAAUUUGGCAUAUCUAGACCUGAAUUCUUGUACGGCACUGCAGAAACUGUGCAUCGAAGGCUGCGCUACGACGGCAUCGUGGGAUGGUCUUAAAUCCCUUGGAGCUCUCGAGAACUUGAAAGUUAAAAAUUCUCCAGGCUUCACAAGGUCAUGGCAACUAGCAUCGGCCGACGUUGAGAGCAAGCACAUCAGCUACUUCCCGCGAAGACUGCAAGUGCUUAAUAUUGAUGACAUUGGUGUCCUAUGUGUGCCUAUUUGCAGCCAGUUAACCUCUCUGAAGACACUCACCAUUCACGGAUCUAUUUAUUGCCGGCGUGACUAUGUGGACGCUUUGACGGAUGAUCAUGAGAAAGCACUGCUACUUGUCACCUCCUUGAGAGGCCUCGAAAUUGAUCAGUUUGAGCAUCUCCGGUCACUGCCUGCAGGGCUUGAAUGCCUUACAAGACUGCAAAGUCUGAUUGUUAGCAGGUGUGGACUUAUCACAUCCCUACCAGUGGGGGGUGUCCUGGCGUCGCUCAGGGACAUGGAAGUCCAUGGUUGCAGCGAGGAGCUAACUGCACAAUGCCGAGCGAUGUGUAGAGAUCGAAAGAUAUAUUUUUCCGUUGGUGCUUAUACCGUUGGUUCAGUAGAAACAGACUAG